AACCAAGGAAUUAAGUUAUAUUUAGUAUGGUAAAAAGACAGUUAGGUAGAAAUUAAAAUUGUUUAGGUUAUUUAAUUAUUCUAUAUAGAGGUAAAAUUUAAGUAUAGUAUUAUAAUUUAUUAAUAACUUUUAAACUGAAUCUGUGAAAUCCUUGAGGGAAACUAGGAUUAGGUACCCUAUUAUUCUUGGUUGUAAAUUGAUUUUUGUCUACCAGAGUACUAUGAAUAUUUUUAAAUUUAAAACUCAAAGAACUUGGCGGUGUUUUAGACCAUUCAGGGGAACCUGUCUCGUAAUCGAUGAUCCACGUUAUACCUGACCUUUUUUUGUUUUCAGCUUGUAUACCGUUGUCGUCAGGUAACUUUUUAGAAAUUGGAAGUUAGCUAUAAGAAAAUAUAAACUAAAACGUCAAAUCAAGGUGCAGCCUAUAAAAAGGAGAGGAUGGGUUACAAUUAUAUAUUUAUAAUUACGAAAAAUUGUGAGAAUGUAUAAUAUUGAAGGAGGACUUGAAAGUAAAUUAAAUUAUAUAAAUAAUUUGAAUAAGGCUCUGAAACGUGU
RNAcentral lists this ribosomal RNA (555 nucleotides) under Duplicaria tristis. RNAcentral's name for it is "Euterebra tristis partial 12S ribosomal RNA". The record is from RNAcentral. Lineage: Eukaryota; Metazoa; Mollusca; Gastropoda; Neogastropoda; Terebridae.